CCUCUCUGCCUUGUCUCCUGGAGAAGGUGGAAGCACUGCGUGGAUGCAAGAAUCGGAGGACCCUGUACAGACUUCCUUGGCAGAGCUCUUCUAAAGCGCAAGUGCAAUUGAAAACUCACCUUCCUUGGGGAAAGAAGAAAAAUUCGGUUCCCUGGCCAGGGGAUGAAUCUCCCAUGCAAUGAUGCACUACCCGUAUCUGAGGGAGGAAGGUGUAAAACAAGCCUGAGUUAAAGGUUCAGUCGUGCAAGGUGUUAAAUCACACCAGCGUCAACAGGACCAUGCGUAUGCUCACAGAUCAGCAUGUGCUGAAAGGCUGUGCCGGCGAAGGGCUCAGCUCCCUGUGAUCAAGGUUGACUUUGAGAGGCUGAAAUGAGAGGAGAUGGAAAGGGAAAAGGAUUUUUGCUAGGAUCAAUUUUCUGUCUGUCUUUUUGUGUAUGCUUCCAGCUAUUUGAAUACGUGCAUGUGUGUAAACAGAGCCAGUCCCCACCCCCCCAUGUCUGAAAUGAAAAAUAAUAAAAAUACAUUUACAUAGCUUCAACAUUAGGCUAUUAAAAAGCUAUAGUCAGUAUAACAGAGGGGAAAAAAAUUACAAAGAACGAUUUGCAUAGCAAACACAUUUCACAGUUGUUUUGGACAAAUGCCCUCGGUAAAUAUGUUUAAAGUCAUGUACAACAAGAAUAUUUUAUCACAAGUAACCAUGUUUUAAUAAACACUUAGUCUUUUUGUAUUUCAUUCUUUCUCAUCGUAAUAAUAGAAAUAUAACACCAUAUAUCACUGUAAAACACAUUUCCACAUAAAUGCUGAUAAGCACAAAAUAUUUUUCAUCAUUUACAUUUUAACUGUAAUAAUAUAUGGCAGGAUUAAAGCUGCAUCCAUCAUGUGUCUAACUAACCUUGCUGUAAUGAAUUUUUAAAUGUAAUGGUUUCUGUCACAAAGUAAAAUCAUACAUAAUAUC
Molecule: long non-coding RNA, 955 nt
Organism: Gymnogyps californianus (California condor)
Lineage: Eukaryota; Metazoa; Chordata; Aves; Accipitriformes; Cathartidae
Exons: 2
Source: RefSeq, a predicted model, not a curated record